Paramuricea clavata is the source of this 347-nucleotide non-coding RNA. The record is from the annotation of a GenBank genome assembly. Lineage: Eukaryota; Metazoa; Cnidaria; Anthozoa; Malacalcyonacea; Plexauridae.
AAAUAAUUAAAGGGCGAACUCGUGAGGUUAAUGAAAUAAACGUUAUCAAUGCUUUACUUGAAUGUAAUCCUGAAGCCACCGAGGCGACGAAUGACUCCCUGAGAGAAUUAAUUAGUAUCAAAAUUGCCAAUCCAAAACCAAAUGAGAUCUCCCCCAGCAAUUUUCCUACAACGAGCAAUUCUCUAUUGUCUAGCCACGUAGAACUAACUAAUUAUGACCCUAAGCAUGUUUCGCCUGUAAAAACCUCCCACGGUGACCAACAUAAAAAAGUUGAUUCGAAUGCAAAGAAAUCGACAAAUAUUAUCGACCACAAUUUACCACUUCUUGAUAAUAAACGAUUUAACCCG